AAUUCACUCUGCAUGAAAUCUGAACAAUAUUCAGGAAAUACUCUAACUCUCAGCAAAGCCUGUUGUUUCUAAGCAGAGCCAGUCUGGUCUUAUCCACGCUGAGGAGCAAAUGGGAUUGACAGGCAUGUAACAGAAUUGAGACAGAAAGUGUGAAACUGUGUUUGAAAGCAGAGAGACGCUUAGAGAUAACCUUAGCUCAGUUGUGCCUGACAAAAGAGGAGGAAAUAAAGGGAGUUCCUUAAAGGAAUUCGUUAUCAUAUGCAUUUAGAAAAGGCAGCAGGCACCUGAGGAGGCCAAGGGAAACCUAAAUAAAACUAUAUUGAAAGCUAGGCUUCUGUGCCAUACACCAAAAAUGUAGCACAGAUCGUUAAGCAGAGCCCACUUGGCUGGGUGAUGCUGAACAAAAGCCAUCAGCAUGGCAGCAAAUGACACCUGCUUUGCAUCCCUCAUUCAGGUGAAUAAAUGAGGGCAAGGAGCCAGUGCGGAGCCAUGUGAGCUGUGGAAGGAAGGUCCAGAGAGCUGAACGCAACCCUCGUGAAAUAACUGGCUGAGCAGACUCAGCCCUGACUUCGGGCAGGACAUCACUCAGCUGAAAACUGAAGAUUUACCAAGUCUUUUGUUCUUGGCAUCUGGUAAUACCACCCCCUACUCACUGCAUGGAAAGGGCAUGGCAACAGUUUGUGAAGACUAAUAAACAAGAUCUGUUUUGGGAGUGAUCAUAACCUGAUUUAAUAUAGAGCAAUCAGGCUGCAAGUGUUUACAUGGUAGACUGGAAAGGAGCUCUUUGUCUUUCUGUAUUUGUGUGUGCAUAUGUGAACAGCAUGGAACGAUGUAACUGGCACAUUAAAGAGAAGGCUUUAUCUGCAGAAGGUAAACCCUUGGGGAAGACCUCAUCAAUAUGAUGUAAAAACAAACCAGCUGCCAGUUAAGUUGUUUGUUUUCUUGCAGCACCGCUUCACUGAUCUGCCCACUUGAGUUGUAGCAUUCCAGGACCAAACUGUCUUUCAUGACACGAUUACUCAGUUGCUCUGAAACUUGUCAUGCUGUAAGGAAUGGGAGGAUUUCUUUAUCCUAGUCUACAUUUCAUAGUCCUUACACAUGGAAAAUUCUGAUGUUAUAGUGACAGACCUUGAAUUAAAUACCUGGGUAGAUGCAUGCUGAUGGCCAAAGCUGCUAUGGAGACACAUAUUUUGGAAGAAUACUUUUAGUGCUGUAGUCCUUUCUCACUCACUUUUGCAUAUUUUAACUCAUUUCUGGCCAAUGUAGGAA
RNAcentral lists this long non-coding RNA (1269 nucleotides) under Anser brachyrhynchus (Pink-footed goose). Its description in RNAcentral is "lncRNA (ENSABRG00000008330.1)". Lineage: Eukaryota; Metazoa; Chordata; Aves; Anseriformes; Anatidae. The record is from RNAcentral.